GCUCGUGGAUCGAUGAAGACCGCAGGUAAAUGCGCGUCAGAAUGUGAACUGCAGGACACAUGAACACCGACAAGUUGAACGUAAUUGCACACCGUACAACAGUACGAUGUACACAUUUUCACAUAUUUAUCCAUUCAACUGUACGUGCGUGCGCGUCCCGCAACAGCGCUGGCGUGAGGACAAAUGCACCACGUACGCGCAGUAACGUUUUCCUGAGCCCUCAGUAAACCGUUGAAGAUAGUCAGGCACGCCCCGCCCUGGGCGCGGUUGAUGAAUACAUCCCCUAGAUAAACGCGCUUGGUUAUGUUGUAUGUCAUCGGCUAGCCAACCGGCCACCGGCACCCCCCAUUAGGCCUCAAAUAAUGUGUGACUACCCCCUAAAUUUAAGCA
This 390-nucleotide ribosomal RNA is filed under the name Aedes rubrithorax. Its description in RNAcentral is "eukaryotic LSU rRNA". The stretch from base 1 to 128 matches the Rfam family "5.8S ribosomal RNA", at positions 24 to 154 of the family's 154-position model. The record is from RNAcentral. Lineage: Eukaryota; Metazoa; Arthropoda; Insecta; Diptera; Culicidae.